GGGUGGGCUGGUGGAUGUCGGAGACGACAUCAAGGCGCAGUACCACGUAGAACGUGACAGACUCCUCGCGGGAUUUCUCAACGGAGGUCUAAUUCCACCACCGUGCCGCCACUCACACGGACGGAUUUCAUUACUGCCUUAAAUUUUGGUAAGUUACUCCUAAGGCCGUUGGUUGAUCUCCAUUCUUGUAUAGGAUUAGGCUACUUAGGAAAUCGUGCGUCUGGUCGUCGAUGGGUUUGUCUCCGGCGAACCUGCCGCCGCUCUGCGAUGGUGCCGUAGCGUUCUGGCGAGCGCGGGCGUGGGAGACGAACGGCGACCGUUGAUCUGGCCUGGGCGGCUGUGAUUAAAACACCGAGAUACCCCUUCGGUUGGGAUGAUCCGAGCCCUCAAAUGCCGAUCCAACGGUUGAAUUCUACCCGUACCCCUUCGUCUUGGACGAUUUACUAAAGAGACCCUGCAUUUUUCACAAAUCAACCCGCCGUCCCCGCGGGAGUAGUCUGAGUCUGGUAGCUUUUGCGAAUUAAACCUCAAGCUUCUUAGUAAAUGACGCGCAGUCCAGAUAACAGAGAAAACUAGAUAAUUAAUAUUAUAAAUUGAUUGUUAGUAUAAAAAUAAAUCUUGAAACUCAUUUAAUGUAUAGAAAAUUCAUUUUAGCUCCUUUUAAAUCCAUUCCAGUUACAUUAAUUUUGUUUUAAUAUUCUUUAUCACCUAGUAACUCUAUUUAGACAGGAAACAUAGAUUUAAAAUUGGUUACUUAAUUUAUCCUGUGCCAAGUACUUAAUAACUUCGGAAAUUCAUAACUUAAUAACCGUAGCUCUGAAUUUAGUGGUUCUCGAACCCACGGUAUCGUUACGACGAGUAAAUUAUCAUUAUGCAGUUUGUUCUUAUGUUUGGUGUGAUGUUAAUUUUGCAUAUACCAUAUUUGUUUGUAUUGCUUCGACUAGCGUGAGGACACGUGUCACCUGAUGAGCAAGUUGGUACCUGGAAUCUCAAGUCCCAGGCAAGUUGUGCCCUUGAUCACUUCUUUUACCCACUCAUGUUCUAAUCAAUCAUAAUGAUCUGCAUAGGUUAAUUUUGAUGGGACCCAAUAGGUCACCCUAGUUUGUUUAUCCUGAAUACCUUGUUUACCCCUGAAUCACUUGGGUAGUUCUGCUACUGCUUUAUAUGGUUUUGGGUUAAUAUUUCAUUAUAUCUAUGUUCCAAUUAUGUUGUUAUUUUAUUUAUGUUCAUGACAAGAUCAUUAAAUGUUAAUUGGAACAUAGAGCUUAACUUGAGAAACACGUGCCACCACAAGGGUUUAUGGACGCCCUUGGCUGAUUAAUUAGGAAAGCUAGUGGAGGACUACCUUACCCGAAAGGGGCAAGGGCAGUAGGGGAGUGGUCAGUGUAGGGAGGCCCUCGGGAGGAUUUUGCUGCGAUGGCGGUCCUGCAAGGGAUUCCUGCAUUGGAGCUUCCUAUAAACUGUAGCGGGUUUUCUGAAGCUAGUGGAACUUUGUAAAGGCCUCGUAGUGUUACCCUGCCUCGCCUCCUCGGUAGAGGUGUAUGGGAAGUCGCGAUCCCUUGGCAGAUGGGUAACAUGACUUGUGGGUAAAGGGUACCACCUCUGCAGAGUGUAAAACUGGUAUACUAGCCGAGCUCACGGUCAUGAGCAGCUCAGGACUCUCUGAUGAUUAAUUUAUGGAACUAAAUUCAAUUUGUCAUAUGCAUUGCAUCGCAGGUGAUGUUGUUACUUUUGUUCUACUACUUAAUUGGGUUGGUAUUUACUUAUACUAAGUAAUUGCUAAUAAAAUUUUGACCAACUUUAAAAGCAAUGCUCAGCUCUAACCAUCCUCUUUGGUAAGCCUUACACUUCACGUGAGCUCCCACCUUUGGCGAGUUCAUGCACAUUAUUCCCCACAACUUGUUGAGCGAUGAACGUAUGUGAGCUCACUCUUGCUGUCUCACACCCCCCACACAGGUCAAGAAUAUGUACCGCAGGCUGAGGCGCUUGGAGGAUGCUGCGAUGUGUUCGUGAGAGGUCUAGGUCGUCGUCUCCCAGUCAACUUUGGGUUGCUGGAUCGUUUCCUCAUAUGAUGUAAUUAUUUAAUUAUUUUUGUACAUAACUCCGGU
This 2108-nucleotide long non-coding RNA is filed under the name Zea mays. Its description in RNAcentral is "long non-coding RNA (ZMAY_LNC001113)". Lineage: Eukaryota; Viridiplantae; Streptophyta; Magnoliopsida; Poales; Poaceae. The record is from RNAcentral.